RNAcentral lists this ribosomal RNA (379 nucleotides) under uncultured cyanobacterium. RNAcentral's name for it is "bacterial SSU rRNA". It matches the Rfam family "Bacterial small subunit ribosomal RNA", at positions 376 to 770 of the family's 1533-position model. The record is from RNAcentral. Lineage: Bacteria; Bacillati; Cyanobacteriota.
CGCAAGCCUGACGGAGCAACGCCGCGUGAGGGAUGAAGGCCUCUGGGCUGUAAACCUCUUUUAUCAAGGAAGAAGAUCUGACGGUACUUGAUGAAUAAGCCACGGCUAAUUCCGUGCCAGCAGCCGCGGUAAUACGGGAGUGGCAAGCGUUAUCCGGAAUUAUUGGGCGUAAAGCGUCCGCAGGCGGUCUUGAAAGUCUGUUGUUAAAGCGUGGAGCUCAACUCCAUUUCAGCAAUGGAAACUAGAAGACUAGAGUGUGGUAGGGGCAGAGGGAAUUCCCGGUGUAGCGGUGAAAUGCGUAGAUAUCGGGAAGAACACCAGUGGCGAAGGCGCUCUGCUGGGCCAUAACUGACGCUCAUGGACGAAAGCCAGGGGAGCG